GCUCUGGUGCUCCAUGCUCAGUUGGAACCACGCCAAUCCAUCCCGAACUUGGCGGUGAAAAAGCUGAGGGGGUCGUAUAACUGGACGGGUCGCUGUCCGGAACCACGACUCUAGUGCCAGGGU
Molecule: ribosomal RNA, 123 nt
Filed under: Carteria sp. SAG 8-5
Lineage: Eukaryota; Viridiplantae; Chlorophyta; Chlorophyceae; Chlamydomonadales; Chlamydomonadaceae
Source: RNAcentral